GGGGGCUGGGACUGCUAGGAGUGGUCAUCUCACUUGCACUGAGAACAGCAGCCGGGUUCGAAUCCUCGGAGCUUCCACCA
RNAcentral lists this transfer RNA (80 nucleotides) under Pseudomonas phage UAVern. RNAcentral's name for it is "tRNA-Ala". The record is from RNAcentral. Lineage: Duplodnaviria; Heunggongvirae; Uroviricota; Caudoviricetes; Vandenendeviridae.